RNAcentral lists this transfer RNA (73 nucleotides) under Nematostella vectensis (starlet sea anemone). It matches the Rfam family "tRNA". Rfam says of the family: Transfer RNA (tRNA) molecules are approximately 80 nucleotides in length. Their secondary structure includes four short double-helical elements and three loops (D, anti-codon, and T loops). Further hydrogen bonds mediate the characteristic L-shaped molecular structure. tRNAs have two regions of fundamental functional importance: the anti-codon, which is responsible for specific mRNA codon recognition, and the 3' end, to which the tRNAs corresponding amino acid is attached (by aminoacyl-tRNA synthetases). tRNAs cope with the degeneracy of the genetic code in two manners: having more than one tRNA (with a specific anti-codon) for a particular amino acid; and 'wobble' base-pairing, i.e. permitting non-standard base-pairing at the 3rd anti-codon position. The record is from Rfam by way of RNAcentral. Lineage: Eukaryota; Metazoa; Cnidaria; Anthozoa; Actiniaria; Edwardsiidae.
GCCUCUGUAGCUCAGUGGUUAGAGCACAGGUCUCGUAAACCAGGGGUCGAGAGUUCCAUUCCAUGCAGAGGCU